AUUGAACGCUGGCGGCGUGCUUAACACAUGCAAGUCGAUCGGUAACAGGUGUAGCAAUACAUGCUGACGAGAGGCGGACGGGUGAGUAAUGCUUGGGAAUCUGCCUAUUAGUGGGGGACAACCCGGGGAAACUCGGGCUAAUACCGCAUACGCUCUACGGAGGAAAGCCGGGGACCGCAAGGCCUGGCGCUAAUAGAUGAGCCCAAGUCGGAUUAGCUAGUUGGUAGGGUAACGGCCUACCAAGGCGACAAUCCGUAGCUGGUCUGAGAGGACGACCAGCCACACCGGAACUGAGACACGGUCCGGACUCCUACGGGAGGCAGCAGUGGGGAAUAUUGGACAAUGAGGGCAACCCUGAUCCAGCGACGCCGCGUGGGUGAAGAAGGCCUGCGGGUUGUAAAGCCCUUUCGGUGGGGAAGAAAAGUCUCGACCUAAUACGUCGGGACCUUGACGUAACCACUAAAGAAGCACCGGCUAACUCUGUGCCAGCAGCCGCGGUAAU
RNAcentral lists this ribosomal RNA (502 nucleotides) under uncultured bacterium. RNAcentral describes it as "bacterial SSU rRNA". It matches the Rfam family "Bacterial small subunit ribosomal RNA", at positions 29 to 524 of the family's 1533-position model. The record is from RNAcentral.